UCACUGCAGACAGUUCACCCCUCACUGACAUCACUGCAGACAGCCUGUCCCUCACUGACAUCACUGCAGACAGUUCACCCGUCACUGAUGUCACUGCAAACAGCACACCCCUCACUGAUGUCGCUUCCAAGAAUUGCUGUUGUGCAGUAAGUCAAAGCCAUACCAGCCAAUGCAAAACAGAUAGUAUUUAACCAGUUCCACACACUUGCUUAGGAAUCCCAAUCACAGUUAGUAUAGUAGUAGUAGUACCUUUCUUGGAUGAGCCACGUGGAGCCUGACAUUUCAUGACAUUUAAAAAAAUAUAUAUAUUCUUUAGUUAUUUUGUAAUGUUUGCCCACCCAUUCUGUAUCACCAAUUAUGUCUUUAUGUCUUUAUGUCUUCCCCAGCAAGUGCAGGCGGGGUCCUCCAGUCCACACGUCCACAGGCCAUGCAGCAUUUGACAAGCCACCAGCUCUUCAGCAGUACACAGGAGGUUCAGCACCGAUCACACCAGUGAAUCUUAAGUUUAGAGAAAAAGGCCCUUUGCAGAUGAAGGACGUCUGAUGGGGCCCAACCACAGCUCCCCUCUGCUGCCCCAGAUACCCGGUCUGAAAUUGACCCGCGGCAGCUCCCCUCCCUCCUCGGCGAGUCAGAGGCUCAUCUCCCUCUGCAUGCGACCUGCGCUGCCUCGUGCAGGGCUGUCUGCUCCCAGCUCUGACAGAAAAUCAAUGGCCUGAAGCCCGAGAGACUCAGCACAUGGAUUUCCGAUACACAGCCGUCAAAAACAGAACACAGCACGGUGACAGCUGGGCCUUUGGCGCGGACCUUUCCCCUUUCGAGAGAGGGGUGUGUCGGCGUGCGGGCCGAUCUCACGCCCCUUUUUAGCGCGGCGCUGAAGAGGAGGUCACAUGAAGGCAAGCUCUUUGACCUGAGACACUAGACACACACGCUGGGAGUCAGGAGAACACAUCAAUGAAUUAAAAAAACCCAUAUUGCAAAAAAUGUGUAAGAUGGCUGCACAGACAUUGCAGGCCCAGUGAUACUGUAUGAUAGGAAAUUACAAAUGCAUUAGAUAUUUUUAACCACCUGUUUGGAGUCUCCAGUCCGACAGGUGACACCAUCUGCAGAGACAGGCAUAGCCAAGAUAUCCUCUGCUUUCCACAUGGCCAAUCUAGAAUGCAGCCAGCACGUAUUUGUCCUGAUGACGUGCUUGCUGUGACCAGGCAUUGCAUGGAAUUUCUGCAGUUGUGCCAUGCUCCUGCCAUAUGGUUUGCUUCCUCAUUGUCUUCCACAGUUAAACCAUGUUGAUUUAAACAUGCCAGUGACUUCUUACUCCAUGAUUUCAAUGUUUUACUAUAUUUCACAAUGUACCUUUUACCAUAAUGUACCUGCAUAAUAUACAGUUGCCUUUAUACUGGCGAAGUGAGUGGAGAAGCUGUGUGCAGCCCUCAUUGAUUAGCACCCAGACUGAAAUGCGCCCAAUUAGAGAUUCAGGGUGCUAUGCUGCUGUGAGUGGUGGACUGAGCCUAGGACUCCCCUAGCCAGCCCCACGCCUGAAUUGUGCUUAUAGCGUUUCCUUUGUUUGCUAUCCCUUUAAAAGGAUGGCACUGCUCAGCUAGGGGCAGAGACUACCAACCCAUUCCUGGGCCUACAAGGCCCUGCUUUCCAGUCUCCCAGACAUUGAUCCUCUCGACCCCUGUGUCGUUGUAUUAACUACCCCUGAUUUUGCCUCUUUUCUCUCAGCCGAUUCAGUUAAUCUCUUAAGUAAACUAACCAUUCACUUGAAGUUGACCUUUUGCGUUUGUUUUCAGUUCUUAGACUGCUGAGAGAUUUCAGUCGGACUAUUAAAUGUCACAUAUGACUUUUAAACAGUGUCUAAUUGGAUAAGAUAUUACCUGCUUCCAGGAACAAGAUCCUUGGAUCUGGUCGGCAAGCUGGAAGAAGCCCAUACGACUAAGAUGAGCCUGAUGGCCUGGUCUUAAUUGCAAUUAUGUUGCGGUUUUUUAAAUAUAAUUCUAGAGCCAGGCUGCAAAAACCCCAAUUUACCACUCUCCAUCCACUCCCACCCCCCAAAGAGACCUUCUUUUCCUCUCAACUGGCCUCACUUAUUUAGUACAUUCUACUUCUGAGUGAUGGCUCAUCACUACCGACGAUCAGAUCUGGCA
RNAcentral lists this long non-coding RNA (2144 nucleotides) under Lepisosteus oculatus (spotted gar). Its description in RNAcentral is "lncRNA (ENSLOCG00000021096.1)". Lineage: Eukaryota; Metazoa; Chordata; Actinopteri; Semionotiformes; Lepisosteidae. The record is from RNAcentral.